RNAcentral lists this ribosomal RNA (440 nucleotides) under uncultured bacterium. RNAcentral's name for it is "partial 16S ribosomal RNA". It matches the Rfam family "Bacterial small subunit ribosomal RNA", at positions 338 to 795 of the family's 1533-position model. The record is from RNAcentral.
CCUACGGGAGUCAGCAGUGGGGAAUAUUGCACAAUGGGCGAAACCCUGAUGCAGCGACGCCGCGUGAGUGAUGACGUACUUCGGUAUGUAAAGCUCUAUCAACACGGAAGAAAAUGACGGUACCUGAGUAAGAAGCCCCGGCUAACUACGUGCCAGCAGCCGCGGUAAUACGUAAGGGGCCAGCGUUAUCCAGAUUUACUGGGUGUAAAGGGAGCGUAGACGGCAGUGCAAGUCUGGAGUGAAAGGCGUGGGCUCAACCCCCGGACUGCUCUGGAAACUGUACGGCUGGAGUGCAGGAGAGGUAAGUGGAAGUCCUAGUGGAGCGGUGAAAGGCGUAGAUAUUAGGAAGAACACCAGUGGCGAAGGCGGCUUACUGGACUGUAACUGACGUUGAGGCUCGAAAGCGUGGGGAGCAAACAGGAUUAGAUACCCGAGUAGUC